Small nuclear RNA from Rhinolophus ferrumequinum (greater horseshoe bat), 64 nucleotides. Its record names the gene U7. It matches the Rfam family "U7 small nuclear RNA". From Rfam's summary of the family: Animal histone pre-mRNAs are spliced by a different mechanism than nuclear pre-mRNAs and self-splicing introns. This processing involves the U7 snRNP, which contains only one RNA species: U7. NCBI's taxonomy places the organism in Eukaryota, Metazoa, Chordata, Mammalia, Chiroptera, Rhinolophidae. The record is from Ensembl.
AAGUGUUUACAGCUCUUUGAAAAUUUGUCUAGUAGGUUCUUUGGUUCUUACUGGAAGAUCCCCA